AUGCUUCUCCAUGUUGGUAUGUCAGCAGAGCAAUUUCCAGAGACUUUAAAUGAUUGUUUUUAUAACUUUCUCCAGGUGAACGGUUGUUUGCUAGGGAGAACAUCUGCUGCGGUCCUCACGCUCCAUCCCAGAGGUCAGUCUCCUGCAGUUAAUCCUAAUACAAGGCUGUACAGGAAGCACGGCUGGGAGGCCUCAGGAAACUUACAAUCAUGGAGGAAGGUAAAGGGGAAGCCAGCACGUCUUACAUGGUGGGAGCAGGAGGAAGAGAGAGUGAAGGAGGAGGUACUACACACUUUUAAACAAUCAGAUCUCGUGAGAACUCACUCAUUAUCAUGAGAACAGCAAAGGGGAGGUCCGCCCCCAUGAUUGAAUCACCUCCCACCAGGUUGCUCCUCCAACAUUAAAGAGCAUAACUUGACAUGAGAUUUGGGUGGGGACACAGAGCCAAACCAUAUCUGGUUCCUUCUCUGAACUUCAUUUCAUAUCAGGUCAGAAUUUACUGGUAAAUGAAUUACGAAACACCGUUUGGUUUUCUGUGUUUUUGUAGAUUUUGGAAUUAUACAUUCAAUGAGGCUUGGUGGACCUGUGCUGUCUCUCCAUUCAUUUUCUGAUAGGCACCCCAAAGUUAACAUGCUUACUGUGACCUUUGAUUUUAACUCUCCCCACCCUAACUUGUUGAUUUGCUGUUUUUCCCAUCUCAGCUAAUUUUAUCACCAUUCAUACAGUUAAUUUCUCAAGCACAGAUUCUAGCAGUUACUCUUCUUUUCCCUCAAUUUCUCUUUCUUCUUCUCCAAUGUCUAGCCCAUCAGUAGGUCAUUGGCUCUUCUUCAAACCAGAUCCCAAAAAUUCUCUGCAAGGGUCUUAUAGGGCCCAUCUUAUUAUACCCCAUCCAUAGCCCCAUUCAUGCAUUACACAGUGAUCACAAGGAUCUUUUAAAAUCCCUUUCCACUGAAACAGGUAUAUAGAAGAUAGUAUCAGUCUUCUGCUUAGUCCACUGAAAAUAGAUAAAAUCUAACAUUUCCAAGUCCUCUCAGAUCUUCAACACUGGCCCUGCCUACUCCUCUGACAUCAUCUCAUAUAAUUCCAUCUCUUAGUCCCCACACUUCAAUCCCACUGGUUUCCUUUCUGUUUUCCUACCAUGUGAAGUCUUCUUGCCUUGGGGGAAUUUGUGCCAGGGGCUCCUAAGACUGAAAUACCUUCCCCUAGAUAUUUGUAUGUUUGGCUGAAGGUUCCUUGCCUCUGCCCAUAAUCUGCUUAAAAAAUUACUUCCUCUCUCUUCUCAUUAUUCAUUCUGUCUCCAUCAGAUUUUAUUUUCUUCAUAGUACUUGUGGCUCUAGAAGUUAUAUUACUCAAUUGUUUACUUGUUCAUGAUUUCUCUGUGGACAUAAAUAUCCCUGUAAACUAAACACUCUUGAGAGCAUGGUGGGGAGGGAACUGGCUCGCUCUGUUCCUAAUGUCAGAUGCCUAACACAGUGACCUGCACAUAGUAGGUGCUAAACAAAUAUUUGUUGAAGAAAACAAUGAAUGAAUACAUCUCCCAUUAAGGGGGAAUGCCAUGAAACCCUAUAUGUGAAUGAUUCGGAACCCAGGCUUUGGCCUGGACAGAGCUGGGUUUGAACUGACCUCUGGCCAUGUGACCCUGGAAAGCUACUCAGUCUCUGCAAGCUUCCAUUUCCUCAUCUGGAAAUGAACUUCAUAGGUUGGUGGCAAAGAGGAGGUGAAUCUGUGUGAAGCCUAUUGCACCAUCUGGCAUGGUAUCCAUGAUCAAUCAAUGCCAACCACUGCUACAUUGCAGGGCACAGGGACACUUUGUGCUGUGAACAUGGCCACACCAGGCAUGGCUGGAUGAGCCCAGGUCAGCUCCCCUUACUAAAGUGAAUUGGCUUGGUGAGUGAGAGGCGGUUGAUCUGGGGAUACUGCCAUGACCCUCAACAUGCUUCCUGACACAAGUUUUGCAAGCCCUGUCUUGGUGAGUAAUGGGGAGCAGGAGAGCCGAAUGGAGGGUUGAGAAGGGGGAGGGCUGGGGUGGAGGUGGUAGGUUGGUGAGAGAGGUUGAGGGUGGGGGCUGUUGCCAGCAAAGGCGCAAUGUCUGGAAUCUGAUGUGCUGGGGACACCAGCCAUGCAGGAAAGUAAGGCUGGAUCCCAGAGCAGUCCCUGGGGAAGCAGAUGCAGCCAGAGGGAUACACAUUGACAAAGAGCUGAGUGACGUGUGGUGUCCAAGGGGCAGGUCCAGGUGAUGAACCAAGCAUCCUGCUGUGGACUGGAGCUGAAUUUAGGAUCUAGAACUCAGGAGAAUGAAACAAUUUAGGGGGGAAAAAAGCAAAUAUGGAGGCAGUGAACAAGUUCUGGACACCUUCAGGAUUGAGCUGUAUGGCAGUUGGCAGAGAGUUCUUCUUCCUGGGGGGCCCUUCCUGGCAUGGGGGUCGUCUGCUAGUUUAAAAGCCCAAGGCUAGAUGGACUGGUGGUGGGAAUGGGGUGCAUGUGAUAUGGUUGGGAUAGACUCAGGGACAUGGUAGGUUGAGCUGAUAAGGGUAGGUUGGGGGAUGAAGUGCCAGGGGAGGGUAGA
Papio anubis (olive baboon) is the source of this 2566-nucleotide long non-coding RNA. The record is from Ensembl. NCBI's taxonomy places the organism in Eukaryota, Metazoa, Chordata, Mammalia, Primates, Cercopithecidae.